Molecule: long non-coding RNA, 2703 nt
Organism: Pyrgilauda ruficollis (rufous-necked snowfinch)
Lineage: Eukaryota; Metazoa; Chordata; Aves; Passeriformes; Passeridae
Exons: 3
Source: RefSeq, a predicted model, not a curated record
AGAACUUAAACCACAGAAGAGCCAUAAGCACUGUACAUUACAAAGCAGUGCUACUGAGACAUCUCCAGCCAUGUGUCCCUGCCAAGGAAGGACAAGGGUGUUUUGGUCCCAGGGGAGCUGCCUUGUUCACGCAAAGAGGAAGGAGUCCAAGGUACCAUGUAACAAGGUGGCAGUUUCCCACUGGGGGAGGUUGGUGAAUUCAGCCCGUGCAGCUCUUGUCAGCAACCACUGGUGCAGCUAUUUCAGCAUAAUGGUCCUUCUUCAUGGGCACAGCAAAGCGAGCUCUGAGGAGAUUUAUGGAGGAUCACAUCACAGAGCACUGCACAGCUGAAGAUGACAGAGGCAAAUGUCAGUGUGAUGGACCACAGCCUGACUCCACAGCACCGAACAGAAUGCUCUCCUGCAGAGGCAGCUCUGUCUCUGCCCUGCCUCCCACCUAACCUGGCACUUCCCAGCCCACUGCAAAGCUCCAGUCCUCUCCCACAGCAGCCACGGUCCCCACCUUGAGCAAACCCCAUAUUCAGCUCUCAUCCCGACUCAGAAGGAGCACAUCUGUAGUCUAACUGCCGGUCAUUCAGCAAACGACCUCAUUUAGAAACUAGCCCCCUCAGCCCAAUUAUCCCUCUUCUCCAGCCACAUGUCCUUAUGUAGCAGCAUUGCUCAUUUAUAUGCUAAUUUUGUUAAGUCUACUUCAAAGGGGAGAAUUGUUUGUUAAAAAUCUUACACUCCAGCCUGAGUUCAGACCAUCUCAUUAUUUACCUGCAAAUUUAGGGAGAUAUGGGUAAAAGCUCUGUUCUUUUAUGAUCUAUUGUCUAGGUGAUCAAAGGAAACCAUUCAAUAUGAAGAUCAAAAAGAGUCUGGCUCCCAGCAGCCCAGUAGCUGGCUCUGCCAACUCCCAAAGUCCACAACCUCAGUUAUAAGUAAAGACUGAUUCUACUAUUAAAUAACUUUUGAUUACAAAUUGGAGGGAAUAAAAAAAAAAAAACCAAAAAAACCAAAAAACAAAAAAACCAACCUCACAUAAUAGUCUCUUUACUAAGGUGUUAAUGAAACUAGGCUUCAUAUUGAUAUUAUCUCAAUUAUUAGUCCAGGAAUAAUCACUAUGUAUAUAGUGUCUCUAUUAAUAAUCCUCAGAUAAUGAAAAAUAUCCCACAGACAUAACUAAUACUGCUUGAUAAAUUGCUGGUGGACCACAGCUAACCCAGAUUUUCUUUUUUAUAUAGAUAUACUGCUCAAAGGAUUUUUUUAAAACAGGAACUCAGCGACAGAAGUGUUUAUUAUUUGGAGGAGACAAAAGCAGUGGCUGUAGAUUGAAGUAUCAAAAUGGGACACCUCAUGUCCCAGUCUGUUAGGGAAUUAUGUCAAAAGAGUAACACAAUGUGAAUAAUGAACCCGUGCUUUUCAGGGCUGACAUAAUUCCUUAGCCUAAGGAAUUUCAAGAACCAUGAUUUGUAGAAAUCCCAGUCUUCUUGAAAAGAUAAGCCACAGAGAGAAUUUCUCAUCUUCGCCACAAAUAAACAUUAAAUAGUGUACAGCUUGCUUUAGAAAAAAUAAUGUGAGAAGUGAAACUGGAUGGACUUUCAGACUUUAAUCUUCCCUUUAAAGUCGACACACUGUUGUUAUUCACUAUAGUGUUUUCCUUUUCCAUGCUACAAAUGGCAACAAACAAGAGCCUGAGCACUGAUAUACAUCUGGGGCUUGCGCAAGGAGGGCUGAAGGAUGUUUUGACUGCUGAGAUAACAAAAUAUGGGGGUUUUGGGUUUUUUUACUUGAUGCACUUCUGAAAAUACACUGAAUACUCUUAAAAACAUUAAGCCUCCAGUGCUGGUACGAGAGAUGUUUUGCUGGCUGUGCUUUACUUUGGCUUGUUUGUGUGAAUCAGUGUUGCAGCCUUCCUGUCAGUCAGCAGUAAAUGAAUACCUUAACAGGUCUUGGACGACUUCUAGAGCUGCUCUCAUUUGGAGCAGAUCUAAAGCUGAUGUUUUGAACAGUUGUUAGUAUUAAAGAUCCGAUGGCAUUUUACAGGAGGGUUGGGGUGUAAGUUUUGGUGUCCUGGCCAAAUUCCAAAAUGGGUAAUUAAAUUCUGUCCAUCUGAACUUCCCCCUGUGGUUUUAGUUGGCUCAGGUAUUCUUAAUUUCCUGUCUUUAAAUGUUCCACAGUGUUGCAGCGGUGCUGUUAAACAGUUGCCAGGUUUCACCUCGGCGAUGUGUGAGAUGAUUCAUGCCUUACAGAUCUGCAGAUAGCAGCACGUUCAGGGCAGCCUGUGGGAGCUGGAGAAACGGCAGAGUUGGAAUGACAAGAUGUCAUAGCGGCUGCUCCUUCCAUUCAUUUUCUAAUUUUGUGAUGCUUCAGAAAGAUACAAUAAAAUCUCUCUGGUUUUUAAUGAAAUAAGCUCCUCUCUCCCCUCGACCCUUCCAUUCCUUGCAUCCCCAGGAGAGAAGAGAGAAGCUGAGGAGAUGUGUACAGGGUUAAAUGCAAACCCAGAUCCCUGACUAUGCCAGGAUGUGAAGAGAACUGAUGUCUACAUUUGACCUGCUCAGAGGAACACUUUUAACCUCACAUACUCUGACUCUUUGAGAAAUUUCAAUUCCACAUCAAAGCUUUAUGCCCUUAUGGUAGUUUUUCUUCUUAAAAUGUGGCAACACAGCACCAAAAGAGUGCUGAAGGAAAGAUGAGCCCAAGUUAAUGUGUCUUUUAAGUUGC